RNAcentral lists this long non-coding RNA (1316 nucleotides) under Homo sapiens (human). Its description in RNAcentral is "HSALNT0382757". The record is from RNAcentral. Lineage: Eukaryota; Metazoa; Chordata; Mammalia; Primates; Hominidae.
UCUGAGCUAGGGAAUCUGGGAGUGGCCAACCCAGAGAUUCAUUCCUUAUCCAUGAUGAACAUCUGAGCCUACAGCUUACCCCAUGGAACACGGGCUGUAUAGGGAAUUGAAGCCCUGAGUUUUGGGUUAAAUGAAGCUUGCCAGGUGGAGGUCAUUACGCAGAGGGUGUUAAAUUAAAAUGCUAUAUAAACUACAUGUUAUUUGCAGGUGGCUGUGGUUUUCCUGCCCAGCCCACUACCACUGGGCCGUAGAUGAGAUGGAUAUCUUGUCCAGCCCGCUGCCACUGGACCAUUUCUGCAGGGCCCAUCUAUCACCCCAUCUUGCAGUGUGGAGCCUCGAGUUCUCCAAAUGUCCAGAUCGCAGCUGUCACUGAGCAGUUGCAUCUGUUACACAGUAAAGGAGUCCUAGAGAAGUGCUGCCAAGGGGAACUCAUAAAAAAGCCGCUGCUGGAGACUCAGAUGUGCCCUGCUGAGCGAGGCAGUCUCCUCCUACUUACCGUGCUGCAGUGAGCCGCAGUCACCCGCGGGGGAGUUGAAGAAUAAGUUGAAUAUGGUUGAACACGGUGGCAUCAUACUGCUCAGCCAUCUCUGGGGUUAACUGCAGAUGAGAUAAUUCCUGUAUAACUCCUGGAUCCUCUAGGGCAUUCUGCCACUGUAUCCACACUUCAUGGUACAAGGGCGAAUGGACAGAUCUCCAGCUUCCAAGUGAAACGUGAAGGCGACUCGACAAGGAUUUCUGUUAGGACAAUAGUUUUGCUUCAUGAAGACCAGGAAGGCUUGAACUCAGGACAAUGGGUAUCUUGAAUUUACUCAGUUCCCAUCUCUUAAGUUAUUAAACAUUAUUUCCCACCUGUCUUGUGUAUUUUUGCUUGAUCCCUAUAAUAUGGGGGCAGGCAUAAUUUUGUAUAACCCCUGUAAGACGUGUGCCAGGUACAAUUGGCCCUAUUUCCUAUGUGGGGAAACUGAGACUCAGAGCAGAGAAGCGACUCUCCUAAGUCACACGUUGUAUUGCUGGCAGAGUCUCGGGCAGGAGUCGUGCCUCCUGAUUUCCAGGUACAUGCUGCUUUUGCUAGAACCAAUCUAUUAAAGAACCAAGACUCUUUUAUUUGGAAUUAAUGAGGGAUUCCAAAAAUAGUGUUAGCAGUGCUUAACAAAUUUGAAAGAGCAAAGGAACUGAAGCCAGAGAAGACUGAGAUAGGGGAGCUGUUUCAUUGUAUCAAUUUCUAUUCACUUUGUUAAUAAUUGAUGCCACAUUUACUCAUUGUUAUAUAUUAAAAAUACUUGAUUUGCUACAAGGUAAAAAUGACCCAUUGACUU